AACAAUUCGUUGCAAUUCCGGAGAUUUAACGGAUGUGCUCACCUUAGGAGUAGUACAGCGAAGACCUACCAGAUCGAUUGCUUAGAUGAGGAGGCUUCCUAGGAGGAAUGUUUCAGGACAAUGGACUAAAAACUCCGGACUUUGUAGGAAUAACAUUUGCUGGCGGAGCGUUAAUGGGUAAUUGAACCGAAGAUACGGAAUUUAGACUGAGUCUACAGGUGGAGUGAACAUGCUUAACCACCUGCUGCGUUUAAAGAGCUUGGCUGUGUGGAAAAUAUGCGAAGUGAGGAUAACAAAUCGUCCCACCUCAGAGAAAUAUUUCGGAAUUUGAUAGUGUGUCCAUUGCUAUUGCGGAUAAAACAUGACUCUCUUAUAUUUGAA
Molecule: long non-coding RNA, 381 nt
Organism: Pristis pectinata (smalltooth sawfish)
Lineage: Eukaryota; Metazoa; Chordata; Chondrichthyes; Rhinopristiformes; Pristidae
Exons: 3
Source: RefSeq, a predicted model, not a curated record